RNAcentral lists this ribosomal RNA (468 nucleotides) under uncultured bacterium. RNAcentral's name for it is "partial 16S ribosomal RNA". It matches the Rfam family "Bacterial small subunit ribosomal RNA", at positions 28 to 507 of the family's 1533-position model. The record is from RNAcentral.
GACGAACGCUGGCGGCGUGCUUAACACAUGCAAGUCGAACGGUGACGGAGGAGCUUGCUCCUCCUGAUCAGUGGCGAACGGGUGAGUAACACGUGAGCAAUCUGCCCCUGACUCUGGGAUAACUGCGGGAAACUGUAGCUAAUACCGGAUACGACGCGCGAAGGCAUCUUCUGCGCGUGGAAAGAAUUUCGAUCAGGGAUGAGCUCGCGGCCUAUCAGCUUGUUGGUGAGGUAAUGGCUCACCAAGGCGACGACGGGUAGCCGGCCUGAGAGGGUGACCGGCCACACUGGGACUGAGACACGGCCCAGACUCCUACGGGAGGCAGCAGUGGGGAAUAUUGCACAAUGGGCGCAAGCCUGAUGCAGCAACGCCGCGUGAGGGACGACGGCCUUCGGGUUGUAAACCUCUUUUGGCAGGGAAGAAGCGAAAGUGACGGUACCUGCAGAAAAAGCACCGGCUAACUACGUG